RNAcentral lists this unclassified non-coding RNA (332 nucleotides) under soil metagenome. Its description in RNAcentral is "partial contains 5.8S ribosomal RNA, internal transcribed spacer 2, and large subunit ribosomal RNA". The stretch from base 1 to 120 matches the Rfam family "5.8S ribosomal RNA", at positions 35 to 154 of the family's 154-position model. The record is from RNAcentral.
GAUGAAGAACGUAGCGAAAUGCGAUAAGUAAUGUGAAUUGCAGAAUUCAGUGAAUCAUCGAAUCUUUGAACGCACAUUGCGCCCGCCAGUAUUCUGGCGGGCAUGCCUGUUCGAGCGUCAUUUCAACCAUCAAGCCCCCGGCUUGUGUUGGGGACCUGCGGCUGCCGCAGGCCCUGAAACCAGUGGCGGGCUCGCUAGUCACUCCGAGCGUAGUAAUACAUCUCGCUCAGGGCGUGCUGCGGGUUCCGGCCGUUAAAAGCCUUAUUUACCCAAGGUUGACCUCGGAUCAGGUAGGAAGACCCGCUGAACUUAAGCAUAUCAUAAGCGGAGGA